CAUAAUGUAUGUAAAACUUUCUAGGUCAAAGGUCAGGGUCAAAAACUUUGGUUUCUGUUGACCACCCCAUGUCCUAUGACCUAGGAAGUUGUACAAACAUUAUGACACACCCUCUGGUGUUGGGUAAUAUACAUGUUAAGUAUAAACUUUGAAAUCUUAAUGUUUCUCAAGAUAUAGAGUGGACACAAUCUUUACCAUAGGACAUGGGGUUGUCAACUGAAACCAAAGUUUUUGACCUUGACCUUUGACCUAGGAAGUUGUACAUACAUAAUG
Molecule: small RNA, 273 nt
Filed under: Mytilus galloprovincialis (Mediterranean mussel)
Lineage: Eukaryota; Metazoa; Mollusca; Bivalvia; Mytilida; Mytilidae
Source: RNAcentral